This 368-nucleotide ribosomal RNA is filed under the name uncultured eukaryote. RNAcentral describes it as "partial 18S ribosomal RNA". It matches the Rfam family "Eukaryotic small subunit ribosomal RNA", at positions 592 to 976 of the family's 1831-position model. The record is from RNAcentral.
CAAUAGCGUAUAUUAAAGUUGUUGCAGUUAAAAAGCUCGUAGUUGAAUUUCUGUACAGUCCCAAUUUUGGCUUCGGUCAGGUUGUGGAUUGUGCAUCCGCUUGCAAAUCUAGUUCGGCAUUAACUUGUUGGCUAGGGGAGUAAGCUUUUUACUUUGAAAAAAUUAGAGUGUUUCAAGCAGGCAAUGGCUCGAAUACAUUAGCAUGGAAUAAUGGAAUAGGACUUUUGUCCAUUUGAUUGGUUAUUGGACUUAGGUAAUGAUUAAAAGGGACAGUUGGGGGCAUUAGUAUUUAAUUGUCAGAGGUGAAAUUCUUGGAUUUAUUAAAGACUAACUUAUGCGAAAGCAUUUGCCAAGGAUGUUUUCAUUGA